UGGUUAUAAAAAGGAAACGUAGUUGUUGG
Molecule: non-coding RNA, 29 nt
Filed under: Rattus norvegicus (Norway rat)
Lineage: Eukaryota; Metazoa; Chordata; Mammalia; Rodentia; Muridae
Source: RNAcentral